Molecule: ribosomal RNA, 254 nt
Filed under: uncultured bacterium
Lineage: Bacteria
Description: partial 16S ribosomal RNA
Rfam family: Bacterial small subunit ribosomal RNA
Source: RNAcentral
UACGAAGGGGGCUAGCGUUGCUCGGAAUGACUGGGCGUAAAGGGCGCGUAGGCGGCUUGCACCGUCAGAUGUGAAAUUCCUGGGCUUAACCGGGGAACUGCGUCUGAUACUGGAUGGCUUGAGUUUGGGAGAGGGAUGCGGAAUUCCAGGUGUAGCGGUGAAAUGCGUAGAUAUCUGGAGGAACACCGGUGGCGAAGGCGGCAUCCUGGACCAACACUGACGCUGAGUGAGCGAAAGCCAGGGGAGCAAACGGG